RNAcentral lists this ribosomal RNA (509 nucleotides) under uncultured bacterium. Its description in RNAcentral is "bacterial SSU rRNA". It matches the Rfam family "Bacterial small subunit ribosomal RNA", at positions 36 to 524 of the family's 1533-position model. The record is from RNAcentral.
CAACCUGGCGGUAUGCCUAUCAUGCAAGUCGAACGAUGAAAUUCUCUGCUUGCAGAGAAUGGAUUAGUGGCGAACGGGUGAGUAACACGUGGGUAACCUGCCCAUAAGAGGGGGAUAACAUUCGGAAACGGAUGCUAAUACCGCAUAUGUCUUUGAGGCGCCUGCCUCUUAGAUGAAAGGUGGCUUCGGCUGCCGCUUAUGGAUGGACCCGCGGCGUAUUAGCUAGUUGGUAAGGUAAUGGCUUACCAAGGCUUUGAUACGUAGCCGACCUGAGAGGGUGAUCGGCCACACUGGGACUGAGACACGGCCCAGACUCCUACGGGAGGCAGCAGUAGGGAAUCUUCCACAAUGGGUGAAAACCUGAUGGAGCAAUACCGCGUGAGUGAAGAAGGUCUUCGGAUCGUAAAGCUCUGUUGUUAGAGAAGAAUAAGUCGGGUAGUAACUGCCCCGACCUUGACGGUAUCUAACCAGAAAGUCACGGCUAACUACGUGCCAGCAGCCGCGGUAAU